CUAACCUUCGUGAUCUAUAAAAGACUACUUCCGCCAUUUUUGCGAAUUUCAUCCAUAUAUUUGUGCAUAUUUUUGUUAGUUUAAAAAGCCACACUUUUGUCGCCUUAUCGCCUCGUUGCCGCCUCGCUGUCGCUUUUCAGAAAAUGCUAUGCCUCAGACGAAAACAACGUCAAGCCUUCGCUUCGCAUCGCCUUACGCUGUUAGCGUUGAGGCGAGCACUAUUUACAACACUGUUGCACACACUUAUUUAGUUUUAGUUUUUCCUUUUUUUGUUCGAUUAAGGGAAUUUCAUUAAAUGACAUUAAGAAAAUGCAUAGCAAAAAUUACAACAGAAAGUAGUGUCUACUCAUAUACCAAUACUUUAUGGACAACUAAGGAGCAGAUAGGAUUCAGGAAAAGUUAAACACUUGUUACAGGGGCCUUGUUGACCCAACUAAAUAAAUUAUUAAUUAUAGAAGUGGCUUUAACAACAACCUUCAGGGGUUGGUCUGGUGGCAAUUGAUUUGAGCUUUGGGGUUUGCUCCCUUUCAAGCUCUCAAGUUCGAAACCCACUGGGUGCAAACGAUUCUGAGGCCAUUGGAUUGGGCAAAACCUGAAUUAACACAUGCGGAAAACUCCUUGCCGAGGACCUGUGCAAUCCUGGGAUUAACCGGGGCUCUUAGAGACUCGGACACCCGGUGCAAAUAAAAAAAAAAAAGAAGUGACUUUAAGAGCAUGGUUAUGAGUUUAAAUCCCAUUAAAAUAUUUAUGAUUCCUUUCAUUCCAAAUACUCUGCAAAUAACGCCAAGCACUAUUUGCCAAGUUUUUUUUGAUUGAUUUCCCAAACUCUUCCAGAGCACCAGCUCUCAUAAGCUUCCUUUGUACUGUUGACAUGACCCAAGCUAUUCCUAAAAUUGAAAACAAUGCUCCAAAUGUCAGCUGCUAGUGAACACUGCAGAAAAUGCCUCACACUGUAUAACAUCUAUUCAUGGUGCAUACUCCUGUAUAACAUUUGGCACAUAUAACAUCUAUUCAUGGUGCAUACUCCGGCUAAGAUUGUCUUGAGUAAGACA
Molecule: long non-coding RNA, 1052 nt
Filed under: Nicotiana benthamiana
Lineage: Eukaryota; Viridiplantae; Streptophyta; Magnoliopsida; Solanales; Solanaceae
Description: long non-coding RNA (NBEN_LNC028393)
Source: RNAcentral